GAUGAACGCUGGCGGCGUGCCUAAUACAUGCAAGUCGAGCGAACGGACGAGAAGCUUGCUUCUCUGAUGUUAGCGGCGGACGGGUGAGUAACACGUGGAUAACCUACCUAUAAGACUGGGAUAACUUCGGGAAACCGGAGCUAAUACCGGAUAAUAUUUUGAACCGCAUGGUUCAAAAGUGAAAGACGGUCUUGCUGUCACUUAUAGAUGGAUCCGCGCUGCAUUAGCUAGUUGGUAAGGUAACGGCUUACCAAGGCAACGAUGCAUAGCCGACCUGAGAGGGUGAUCGGCCACACUGGAACUGAGACACGGUCCAGACUCCUACGGGAGGCAGCAGUAGGGAAUCUUCCGCAAUGGGCGAAAGCCUGACGGAGCAACGCCGCGUGAGUGAUGAAGGUCUUCGGAUCGUAAAACUCUGUUAUUAGGGAAGAACAUAUGUGUAAGUAACUGUGCACAUCUUGACGGUACCUAAUCAGAAAGCCACGGCUAACUACGUGCCAGCAGCCGCGGUAAUACGUAGGUGGCAAGCGUUAUCCGGAAUAUUGGGCGUAAAGCGCGCGUAGGCGGUUUUUUAAGUCUGAUGUGAAAGCCCACGGCUCAACCGUGGAGGGUCAUUGGAAACUGGAAAACUUGAGUGCAGAAGAGGAAAGUGGAAUUCCAUGUGUAGCGGUGAAAUGCGCAGAGAUAUGGAGGAACACCAGUGGCGAAGGCGACUUUCUGGUCUGUAACUGACGCUGAUGUGCGAAAGCGUGGGGAUCAAACAGGAUUAGAUACCCUGGUAGUCCACGCCGUAAACGAUGAGUGCUAAGUGUUAGGGGGUUUCCGCCCCUUAGUGCUGCAGCUAACGCAUUAAGCACUCCGCCUGGGGAGUACGACCGCAAGGUUGAAACUCAAAGGAAUUGACGGGGACCCGCACAAGCGGUGGAGCAUGUGGUUUAAUUCGAAGCAACGCGAAGAACCUUACCAAAUCUUGACAUCCUUUGACAACUCUAGAGAUAGAGCCUUCCCCUUCGGGGGACAAAGUGACAGGUGGUGCAUGGUUGUCGUCAGCUCGUGUCGUGAGAUGUUGGGUUAAGUCCCGCAACGAGCGCAACCCUUAAGCUUAGUUGCCAUCAUUAAGUUGGGCACUCUAAGUUGACUGCCGGUGACAAACCGGAGGAAGGUGGGGAUGACGUCAAAUCAUCAUGCCCCUUAUGAUUUGGGCUACACACGUGCUACAAUGGACAAUACAAAGGGCAGCGAAACCGCGAGGUCAAGCAAAUCCCAUAAAGUUGUUCUCAGUUCGGAUUGUAGUCUGCAACUCGACUACAUGAAGCUGGAAUCGCUAGUAAUCGUAGAUCAGCAUGCUACGGUGAAUACGUUCCCGGGUCU
RNAcentral lists this ribosomal RNA (1371 nucleotides) under uncultured bacterium. Its description in RNAcentral is "bacterial SSU rRNA". It matches the Rfam family "Bacterial small subunit ribosomal RNA", at positions 28 to 1381 of the family's 1533-position model. The record is from RNAcentral.